CACUAUCGUUAACUGAAUACAUAGGUUAACGAGGCGAACCGGGGGAACUGAAACAUCUAAGUACCCCGAGGAAAAGAAAUCAACCGAGAUUCCCCCAGUAGCGGCGAGCGAACGGGGAGCAGCCCAGAGUCUGAAUCAGCUUGUGUGUUAGUGGAACGGUCUGGAAAGUCCGACGGUACAGGGUGAUAGUCCCGUACACCAAAAUGCACAGGUUGUGAACUCGAAGAGUAGGGCGGGACACGUGGUAUCCUGUCUGAAUAUGGGGGGACCAUCCUCCAAGGCUAAAUACUCCUGACUGACCGAUAGUGAACCAGUACCGUGAGGGAAAGGCGAAAAGAACCCCGGCGAGGGGAGUGAAAAAGAACCUGAAACCGUGUACGUACAAGCAGUGGGAGCACCUUCGGGUGUGACUGCGUACCUUUUGUAUAAUGGGUCAGCGACUUAUAUUCUGUAGCAAGGUUAACCGUAUAGGGGAGCCGCAGGGAAACCGAGUCUUAACUGGGCGUUAAGUUGCAGGGUAUAGACCCGAAACCCGGUGAUCUAGCCAUGGGCAGGUUGAAGGUUGGGUAACACUAACUGGAGGACCGAACCGACUAAUGUUGAAAAAUUAGCGGAUGACUUGUGGCUGGGGGUGAAAGGCCAAUCAAACCGGGAGAUAGCUGGUUCUCCCCGAAAGCUAUUUAGGUAGCGCCUCGUGAACUCAUCUUCGGGGGUAGAGCACUGUUUCGGCUAGGGGGUCAUCCCGACUUACCAACCCGAUGCAAACUACGAAUACCGAAGAAUGUUAUCACGGGAGACACACGGCGGGUGCUAACGUCCGUCGUGAAGAGGGAAACAACCCAGACCGCCAGCUAAGGUCCCAAAGUCACAGUUAAGUGGGAAACGAUGUGGGAAGGCACAGACAGCCAGGAUGUUGGCUUAGAAGCAGCCAUCAUUUAAAGAAAGCGUAAUAGCUCACUGGUCGAGUCGGCCUGCGCGGAAGAUGUAACGGGGCUAAACUGUGCACCGAAGCUGCGGCAGCGACACUUAGGUGUUGUUGGGUAGGGGAGCGUUCUGUAAGCCUGCGAAGGUGGCCUGUGAGGGUUGCUGGAGGUAUCAGAAGUGCGAAUGCUGACAUAAGUAACGAUAAUGCGGGUGAAAAGCCCGCACGCCGGAAGACCAAGGGUUCCUGUCCAACGUUAAUCGGGGCAGGGUGAGUCGACCCCUAAGGCGAGGCCGAAAGGCGUAGUCGAUGGGAAACAGGUUAAUAUUCCUGUACUUGGUGUUACUGCGAAGGGGGGACGGAGAAGGCUAUGUUAGCCGGGCGACGGUUGUCCCGGUUUAAGCAUGUAGGCGGAGGUUCCAGGUAAAUCCGGUACCUUUUAACGCUGAGGUGUGAUGACGAGGCACUACGGUGCUGAAGUAACAAAUGCCCUGCUUCCAGGAAAAGCCUCUAAGCAUCAGGUAACAUUGAAUCGUACCCCAAACCGACACAGGUGGUCAGGUAGAGAAUACCAAGGCGCUUGAGAGAACUCGGGUGAAGGAACUAGGCAAAAUGGUGCCGUAACUUCGGGAGAAGGCACGCUGAUAUGUAGGUGAAGCCCCUGCGGGUGGAGCUGAAAUCAGUCGAAGAUACCAGCUGGCUGCAACUGUUUAUUAAAAACACAGCACUGUGCAAACACGAAAGUGGACGUAUACGGUGUGACGCCUGCCCGGUGCCGGAAGGUUAAUUGAUGGGGUUAUCCGUAAGGAGAAGCUCUUGAUCGAAGCCCCGGUAAACGGCGGCCGUAACUAUAACGGUCCUAAGGUAGCGAAAUUCCUUGUCGGGUAAGUUCCGACCUGCACGAAUGGCGUAAUGAUGGCCAGGCUGUCUCCACCCGAGACUCAGUGAAAUUGAACUCGCUGUGAAGAUGCAGUGUACCCGCGGCAAGACGGAAAGACCCCGUGAACCUUUACUAUAGCUUGACACUGAACAUUGAGCCUUGAUGUGUAGGAUAGGUGGGAGGCUUUGAAGCGUGGACGCCAGUCUGCGUGGAGCCAACCUUGAAAUACCACCCUUUAAUGUUUGAUGUUCUAACGUUGGCCCCUGACCGGGGUUGCGGACAGUGUCUGGUGGGUAGUUUGACUGGGGCGGUCUCCUCCCAAAGAGUAACGGAGGAGCACGAAGGUUAGCUAAUCCUGGUCGGACAUCAGGAGGUUAGUGCAAUGGCAUAAGCUAGCUUGACUGCGAGCGUGACGGCGCGAGCAGGUGCGAAAGCAGGUCAUAGUGAUCCGGUGGUUCUGAAUGGAAGGGCCAUCGCUCAACGGAUAAAAGGUACUCCGGGGAUAACAGGCUGAUACCGCCCAAGAGUUCAUAUCGACGGCGGUGUUUGGCACCUCGAUGUCGGCUCAUCACAUCCUGGGGCUGAAGUAGGUCCCAAGGGUAUGGCUGUUCGCCAUUUAAAGUGGUACGCGAGCUGGGUUUAGAACGUCGUGAGACAGUUCGGUCCCUAUCUGCCGUGGGCGCUGGAGAAUUGAGGGGGGCUGCUCCUAGUACGAGAGGACCGGAGUGGACGCAUCACUGGUGUUCGGGUUGUCAUGCCAAUGGCAUUGCCCGGUAGCUAAAUGCGGAAGAGAUAAGUGCUGAAAGCAUCUAAGCACGAAACUUGCCCCGAGAUGAGUUCUCCCUGACUCCUUGAGAGUCCUGAAGGAACGUUAAAGACGAUGACGUUGAUAGGUCGGGUGUGUAAGCGUAGCGAUACGUUGAGCUAACCGAUACUAAUGAACCGUGAGGCUUAACCUUACAACGCCGAAGGUGUUU
Molecule: ribosomal RNA, 2779 nt
Filed under: Klebsiella aerogenes
Lineage: Bacteria; Pseudomonadati; Pseudomonadota; Gammaproteobacteria; Enterobacterales; Enterobacteriaceae
Description: partial 23S ribosomal RNA
Rfam family: Bacterial large subunit ribosomal RNA
Source: RNAcentral